This 253-nucleotide ribosomal RNA is filed under the name uncultured bacterium. Its description in RNAcentral is "partial 16S ribosomal RNA". It matches the Rfam family "Bacterial small subunit ribosomal RNA", at positions 524 to 776 of the family's 1533-position model. The record is from RNAcentral.
UACGAAGGGGGCUAGCGUUGCUCGGAAUCACUGGGCGUAAAGCGCACGUAGGCGGCUUCUUAAGUCAGGGGUGAAAUCCUGGAGCUCAACUCCAGAACUGCCCUUGAUACUGAGGAGCUCGAGUCCGGAAGAGGUGAGUGGAACUCCGAGUGUAGAGGUGAAAUUCGUAGAUAUUCGGAGGAACACCAGUGGCGAAGGCGGCUCACUGGUCCAUUACUGACGCUGAGGUGCGAAAGCGUGGGGAGCAAACAGG